GCUAGGUAGGCCUUAGGGCCGUGGGGAAGGUAAGCUGGAGCUGGGAAAACCCACGGCUAACGUACGGGCCCGAGGUGCCCCAGGCUGGUAUAAGUGAUGACUUGACUUUUUUCCCCAUCAUAUCGACAAUGCUGAUGUCUUUGAACACUUGCCAGUUGGUUCUGAUAUACCAGUCUCAAACGGCCCGGCCCUGUUUAUUUCUGAUCGUGGGAAGAUGGUGAUCCAUGCCCUUCCAUUGUUCGCAGGUUAGCGCGGCCGGAGCGUGCAGGAUGGCUGUUGAAGUGGGACGCCGCUGGGCCACCGAAGGCACCCGGUGCGGACUUUUCCAGCCUUCGGUCUCCUGACCUCUGGGGUAAGCAUUUGUCUACUGGCCUGUUGAGGGGACUUUUAGUUCGCUAGAAAAAAUUAAAAAUUGGAAGGUUUAAUAAUUGAGCAUCUCUUAGGUAAUAGGUACUUAAAGUGUUUUGUAUGCUUUAUUGCAGUUCUCACGACCAGGCUUAUUGGUGAAACUGAGGUUCAGGAGAACUAAUGGCUCGAUGUGAAAUGAUCUUUUAAUUGUAAAAGGUGUUCAGUGCCCCUUAAACCACGAUUUGGGCUUCCACUCAUUUGUGUUUCUGGGCAAAUAGAUUUCUUAUGCCUUUAAACUUCCAAGUGGGUGGAUAACGUGUGGACUUUCCAGCUCUCUUAUGAGAACUACUUUCUGUUGAGUUAGCCACUCGAACUAAUUCCCAACUGCAUAACUUUCUCACUUCCUUGAGUCCAGGGUUGAGACACGAAAGGGCAGAAUUUCUUGGGAGCACGUGGUUAUCUCUUAUCUUCCUAAUCUUUAUGAAAGUCACUUUCCCCAGCUGCACUGGCCUCUCAUAGGGGUCCAGAGGUAUUUGUUGUGCCAGCAACAGGACACAGCACAGAAAUGUUCAAAUGUUGAAUAACUUUGCAAACGUGGACGCAGACCAGCUAGAUCUUACUCUUCGUUCAAGGCACUUUCAGUGUCUAUAUUGAAAUAAAAUACCUGCCUUUAGAGGCAGCUGUCAAAGCUGUAAGCUUCCUGCUGGCAUAUAUGAUGACUGAACUUUUUUCCCCGACAGAUCGACCAUGUUGAUCUAACUUCUCUAAGCCAGUUUCUGUCUGAUAUGCCAGUUUGAGCAGCUCCUCUGCCCUGUCUCCCUUGGGGAUGUAGCUGGCAGGAGCUGAUCUUUCUGUGUUUUCAUCUUAGGUUUGCUGCUGGCGGGAAUCUGAAUGGACCAGGAGGAGUCCUGGUGUGGAAAAGGUUUGGUAAGUGAUGCCCACAUUUGUUUCUGUCACCCGAGUAAGAUUUGGGAGAGGAGGGACAGUAACUGUUUCAUAUUGGUUGUUAACACAGGGUUGCUUCUUAGUUUCUGGCCAUUGCAGCUGAUGACAGAACUUUUUUCCCCAUCAGAUCGACCAUGUUGAUCUCUUAACUACUAGCCAGUUUUUUGUCUGAUGCAUUGGCCCCAAGGAUGAAAUCCUUGUUUUUUAAGUAGGUAUUGGCUUGUUCUCCCCACAGCCUGACACCACCCCCCCUCAAAGGAAUUAUCUGUUUGCUUUGUACAGGUCGGGAGGCACGUGUCACAGGGCAAGAAGUGGGUUGAUGACACAGCCUGGUGUCUUCCCCCGGCUUGUCUGUCUUCUGUAGUAGUAAGUUUCUCAACCAUGGAUUUUGAAUACAAGGCCUUUUGAAAAACACCCUGUGUGUUACUGAGAGGUGGAACAGACUGCACCAGAAUCCUAGGGUGAUUGUGUACAUAACUUCAGCAAUAUCCAGAGUUGAAAAACCUGUGCUUUUUUUUUUUUUAAGUCUUUGUGAUCUUUCUAGCUUUGUUUUCCGAUUUGGAAAAAGAAAAUAAAAUCUUUUAAAUCAGUGUUCUUGUAUUUGGUCUAACUGUUGGUGAAAAACCUUGAACAGGGGUAUCAAGUCGGAACUGGUUAUCUACAAGUUUCAUUUGAGUAAUUCUUGAUCCCAGGUUUUAUUGAAAGGAAAUUCCCUAUCAGGCAGUUGGUUCCUAACAACACGUGUUGGUGCAGUAGAUUAAUUCUCCUGCUCCUGAAUCUUGGCCAAAUUUUUACCCCCUCCUAAGAAAGGCAGAAAAGUUGGAGCGUUGGUUCAAUCACUGGCUGGGUUUGAAUUGUGGGUCCCCAUAUCAGCUGUGCGGCCUUGGGCACAUUAUCUCACCCUUGAACUUCAGCUUCUUUGGCAGAAUGGAGAUAAUGACAGUGAGGAUUAAAGGUGUAUUGUAUAAAAUGCUUACCCUAGUUUCUGGUACAGCCAAGUAGAUUUGGCUGUUAAAACCGAAACCCAUUGCUGACUCAGCAGCCUUAUGUAUAUGGCAGAGUAGAACUACCCCAUCGGGUUUCCAAGGCUGUAAAGAUUGCCACAUCUUUGUCCAGUGGAGCGGCUGGUGGGUUUGAACCCCCUUAGCCCUGUGCCAUCAGGGCACCUAUUGCGUAUUCCAGGGUAUCGGCGAGGAAAUGUGCCUUGCCAAAUUAGGAUAUAUGAAUUUAGUUACAGUGGUUGUAGGGGCGUGGUCAGUGCCUGGAAUCCCCAAGGGGUUAGUAUAAUAACCCAAGGCUAGCAGCAGCAAUUCUCUUACCACCCUGAGGCUCCAAGUGAGGGGAGGGAGCCUGUCAGGCAGCUGUGACCUAGAGGGAUGGAGCUGGGGAGGAAAUGCUCAUUACCUGUCAACCUCCAGCCAACAUGUAUGGCUGAAUUAAUAGGAAGCUAGAGAACUUGAGACUCUAGUGCAUUAGCCAGGGACACCCCUGUGGUCAAACCUUGAGGGGCACUGGAGAGGGACUUUUAUAGGGUUUAGGGUUACCCUUGAUGACUCUAAAGAGGAAUUAAGGACCAACUUGGGUUUGGAUACUGUCAGUGAGGAGGAGGCGGCGGUAGUGUUUUGGAGGUGGGACCAUAGAAAUGGCCUGGGAAUGUUAUUGGUUAGAAAGCAGCCAUCACUUAAAAAAAGAAAACAGUGCUAUCGACUUAGGAGGACUCAAAAACCCAAACCCAUUGCCAUUCAGUCGAUUCCAACUCAGAGGUUAUAUAGGACAAAGUAGAACUGCCCUACAGGAUUCCCACGGAGUUCCUGGUGGGUUCUAACUGAUGACCUUUAUGGUUAGCAGCCGUAGCUCUUAACCACUACCCCACCAGCAUUUCCUCACUUAGGAGAAGGGUUGUUAAAUUAUUUUUCCAGGCCUCCUAUGCCUCCUUAGAAUGUUUAUAUUGUUCAGAGCAUCCUGAUUUGAUGACCUAAACCUGUUGCCAUCAAGUCGGUUCUGACUCAUAGUGACCCAGUAGGACAGAGUAGAACUGCCCUAUAGGGUUUCCAAGGCUGUAAUCUCAUGAAGUUCAAACCACUGACCUUUUGGUUAGCAGCCAAGUGCUUAACCACUGUGCCACAGGGCUCCUGGUCUGAUGGUCCAACCAACCAAACUGUUGCCAUUGAGUCAAUUCCAACUCAUAACAACCCUAUAGGACAGUGUAGAAGUGCCCCAUAGGAUUUCCAAGGAGCAACUCCAACUGCCAAUCUUCUGGUUCGCAGCCAAUCACUGUGCCACCAGGGCCCCAGUCUGAUGGUCAGCAGGCUAAUUUGCUUUCUGCGUAUUUAUCAUCUGUCUCUCCCCAUUAGCCUAUGACUCCAUGCAGGUAGCAACUCUGACUUCUCUGUUCUGCGGUUGCCUCUGCAGCAUGUGGCAUAGUGCAUGGCACAUGGCAGGCCACUCAAGACACUGUGGCGGGACUGCUGAAGCACUUGACACACACACUUUUGCUACUUGUCACAGACCUGUGAGGGGAGAACUAGCAGGAUCCUUAGUCUGUUUGUACAAGUAAGGAAACUGAGGCUUGGAGAGCUGUGGUUCCCAGCUCCAUACAAGAGACAGAAUCAGGUCAUAAACCCUGAUCUGUUUGACAAACCAAUGCCCUUCCUUUUUGCUCUCCAACUUGCUGACUCCUACUCCAGCCAGGAAUGUCUUCUAUUCAUUACAUCCGCUGCAGUUUUUAGAGCUAUACCUCGCACAUAGCAGGUGUUGACUAAAGCAAAAAGACAACUGAUUCCUUGAACAUCACGCACAAAUUGUCAGCCUGAAGACACAUCUUGGGGCCCACAAAAUGUUUCUUAAAGAGUGUAUUCAUACAACAAUUCAUUCCGUAAGUAUUAUCUACUAUGUGCCAAAAGAGCCCUGGUGGCACAGUGGUUAAGUGCUUGGCUGUUAACCAAAAGGUCGGUGGUUCGAACUCACCAGACUCUCCAUGGGAGAAAGAUGUGGCUGUCUGCUUGCAUAAAGAUUAAAAAAUCGAAACCAAACCUAUUGCAGUUGAGUCAAUUCUGACUCAUAGUCGACCCUGUAGAACAGGAUAGAAUUACCCCAUAGGGUUUCCAAAGCUGUAAUUUUUAUGGAAGCAGACUGCCACAUCUUUCUUUUGCAGAGCAGCAGGUGGGUUCAAACUCCUGACCUUUCAGUUAGCAGCCAAGAACGUAACCACUGAACCACCAGGGCUCUUCCUCCAUAAAGAUUACAGACUUGGAAAACUUACCGGGCAGUUCUACUCUGUCCUACAGGGUUACUCUGAGUAGAAAUCGACAGCCAUGGGUUUUGGUUUUUCACUAUGGGCCUUGGCACUAGGGAUACACUAGUGAACAAAACAGGAAAAUGUUUGCCUGCUUGGGAGCUGACAUUGCUGGCAGAGGGAGAAACAGAAUAAGGUCCCUGUAGCAGUAAUAAUAGUAACAAUAGCUAACAUUUGUCAAACCUUUAAAAAAAACUAAAAACCAAACCCGUUGCCGUGGAGCCUAUUCCGACUCAUAGCAACCGUGUAGGACAUAAAGUUUCCAAGAAGCGCCUGGUAAAUUCAAACUGCUGAUUUUUGGUUAGCAGCCGUGGCACUUAACCCCUUCGCCACCAGGGUUUUCUUAUUGAGCCCUUAAACCCAGUGCUGGCGAGUCGAUUCUGACUCAGCGACCCUAAAGGACAGAGUAGAACUGCCCCAUUGAGCCCUUGGUACGUGUUAAUCAUAGCUCUUUACAUAUAAUUAACCAUCUAUUCUUCCAACAACUCUAAGAGGGAUGUAAUAUUUUUAACCCAAUUUGCUCAGAGAAGCCAGUCUCAGAAAGUUACAUAUUGUAUGAUUCCAUUUAUUUCACAUUUUUUUAAAAGAAAACUAUAGUGGUUGCCAGGGGCUAGUGGUGGAGUGUGUGUAUGAGGGUAAAUUGAGGGAACAAGGACUCAGAUGUGAAGUGAGUUGCCUAAGGUCACACAGCUGAUAAAUGGCAGAGCCAGAACUCAAACCCUGUCAGACUGACUUGAGUUUGUAACCCUCAGCUUACUUGCAGCAUGUAGAGGUCUGGUGACGUAGUGGCUGAGAGCUUGGCUGCUAACCAAAAGGUAGGCAGUUCAAAUCCACCAGCUGCCAUAAGUUGGAAU
Molecule: long non-coding RNA, 5442 nt
Organism: Loxodonta africana (African savanna elephant)
Lineage: Eukaryota; Metazoa; Chordata; Mammalia; Proboscidea; Elephantidae
Exons: 2
Source: RefSeq, a predicted model, not a curated record